This 150-nucleotide ribosomal RNA is filed under the name Scophthalmus maximus (turbot). RNAcentral describes it as "5.8S ribosomal RNA". It matches the Rfam family "5.8S ribosomal RNA". From Rfam's summary of the family: 5.8S ribosomal RNA (5.8S rRNA) is a component of the large subunit of the eukaryotic ribosome. Lineage: Eukaryota; Metazoa; Chordata; Actinopteri; Pleuronectiformes; Scophthalmidae. The record is from Rfam by way of RNAcentral.
CCUUUUUAGUAGUGCAUCACUUGGCUCAUGGUUUGAAGAACUCUGCUAGUUUCAAAAAGUAUAGUGAAUAGCAGGACACAUUGAUCAUGACACUAUAAUCACACCUUGUAGCCUCGGAUCCCUCCUGGGGUUAUACCCAUCUGAGGGUCG